AGACUUUGAUUAUGGCUCAGAACGAACGCUGGCGGCAGGCCUAACACAUGCAAGUCGGACGAGAAGGUUCCUUCGGGAACUGGAGAGUGGCGCACGGGUGAGUAACGCGUGGGGACCUACCUCUUAGUGGGGGAUAACGGUUGGAAACGACCGCUAAUACCGCAUACGCCCUUCAGGGGAAAGAUUUAUCGCUAAGAGAUGGACCCGCGUUGGAUUAGAUAGUUGGUGAGGUAACGGCUCACCAAGUCAGCGAUCCAUAGCUGGUUUGAGAGGAUGAUCAGCCACACUGGGACUGAGACACGGCCCAGACUCCUACGGGAGGCAGCAGUGGGGAAUAUUGGACAAUGGGGGCAACCCUGAUCCAGCCAUGCCGCGUGAGUGAAGAAGGCCUUCGGGUUGUAAAGCUCUUUCAGAUGCGAAGAUGAUGACGGUAACAUCAGAAGAAGCC
Molecule: ribosomal RNA, 448 nt
Filed under: uncultured bacterium
Lineage: Bacteria
Description: bacterial SSU rRNA
Rfam family: Bacterial small subunit ribosomal RNA
Source: RNAcentral